ACCGGCAGCUCAAGUGGUGGCCAUUAUUAUUGGGCCUAAAGCGUUCGUAGCCGGUUUGACAAGUCUCUGGUGAAAUCCCGCAGCUUAACUGUGGGACUUGCUGGAGAUACUAUCAGACUUGAGGUCGGGAGAGGUUAGGGGUACUCCCAGGGUAGGGGUGAAAUCCUUUAAUCCUGGGAGGAACACCUGUGGCGAAGACGCGUAACUGGAACGAACCUGACGGGGAGUAUCGAAAGCCAGGGGCGCGAACGG
This 252-nucleotide ribosomal RNA is filed under the name uncultured prokaryote. RNAcentral's name for it is "partial 16S rRNA". It matches the Rfam family "Archaeal small subunit ribosomal RNA", at positions 475 to 726 of the family's 1478-position model. The record is from RNAcentral.